Long non-coding RNA from Haplochromis burtoni (Burton's mouthbrooder), 1499 nucleotides. RefSeq lists it as uncharacterized. Lineage: Eukaryota; Metazoa; Chordata; Actinopteri; Cichliformes; Cichlidae. The transcript is spliced from 3 exons. The record is from RefSeq and is a predicted model, not a curated record.
GAUCCACAGAGUUUGGUGACAAUAAUGACAGUAGAUGUUUGUGUGAAAGUGCUGGAAGCAAAUGAGUGUGUGAUGUUCUUUCAGUGUUGCACUUUGUAGACGCUCCCUGAGCACUGGUCUCACAGCCAGCUGCACAUAGAGACCAGUGUUGUUAGUCCAGGUCAGAAGAUGACUUGUUGGAAUGAAAAUGAGCUUGUAGUUUGUCUGCUUUAAUAAUGUGACUGGAAAAAGGUGUUGGACUUCAAAUAUGUCCAUUUCUUUCACACUUCACCUUUAAAAGUGAAGCCUUGUGGUUCCUGGAAGGAAAAACACGACUUUUUCAAGUCUUUGUCCUGUUUUUAUGAUAAAUGUACGACUUUAAUGUGAAACAUUCAGAGUUUUUUCUCUUGUUGUGUUUGUUUGAAGCUGCUUCCUGUUGGCUUCAGCUGUUUGGAGUUUCCAUUUUCUAAACUUCUACAUUCUGAACCUUCUUCAGCUCUGAACAGAUGAUGAAACACUGAAUGAUUUCAAGCUCACACUUUGUCUAAUAAACUUACAUCUUUCAUUCUUUAUACAGAUUGAGGACUGUGGUUUGUCAGAGAUCAGCUGUGAUUAUCUGGCAGCAGCACUGAAGUCCAACCCCUCCCAUCUGAGAGAGCUGGACCUGAGCUACAACAACAAGCUGCAGGAUUCAGGAGUGAAGCAUCUGUGUGGUUUCCUGGAGAGUCCAGGAUGUGGACUUGAAACUCUGGGAUUGAGGGCUGUGGUUUGUCAGAGAUCAGCUGUGAUUAUCUGGCAGCAGCACUGAAGUCCAACCCCUCCCAUCUGAGAGAGCUGGACCUGAGUAACAACAACAACCUGCAGGAUUCAGGAGUGAAGCAUCUGUGUGGUUUCCUGGAGAGUCCAGGAUGUGGACUUGAAACUCUGAGAUUGAUGGACUGUGGUUUGUCAGAGAUCAGCUGUGAUUAUCUGGCAGCAGCACUGAAGUCCAACCCCUCCCAUCUGAGACAGCUGGACCUGAGCUUCAACAACAAGCUGCAGGAUUCAGGAGUGAAGCAUCUGUGUGGUUUCCUGGAGAGUCCAGGAUGUGGACUUGAAACUCUGAGGUCAGUCAGCAUGUUUUAGUUGUGCUGAGAUGAAUAUGAUGUGAAAGUUGUGCUGACACUAAACUGCAGACAUCAGGCUGAUAUUAUACUGAUCCACACUGAGGAUCUUCAUGGUAAAGUCUGUUUUCUUCUUCUCUGGUUUAGUCCAUUGACUGCAGCAGAACAAUGUUCACAUUUCAAACAGUGAGACUCAACGUAUGGCCCGCGGCCCACACGCGGCCUGCCCACCUUUCCUGAUUCAGAGAGAGGGGACCCUGAUGAACUGUGUAGUGUUCUUCCUCACAGUUCUAAGUAUCAGACACAACAAUGAAUAAUCCACAGCUGACUGUCUUUAGCAGGUCAAAGGUCACGGCACACAGCAGACAGUGGGAAAUAUUAUAAUUCUGAUCAUUUAUCAGCACAUAUCCAUAUGUA